This is a long non-coding RNA of Papaver somniferum (opium poppy), 2053 nucleotides long. RefSeq lists it as uncharacterized. The transcript is spliced from 4 exons. The record is from RefSeq and is a predicted model, not a curated record. NCBI's taxonomy places the organism in Eukaryota, Viridiplantae, Streptophyta, Magnoliopsida, Ranunculales, Papaveraceae.
AAUAAAACGGGAUGUUCCGUUACAUGAGGGGGUCUGAGUUAACGAAAUAAGGGUGGAUGAUACUCGAGGAGUCUUAUUCUUCCGCAUAUUUUGCAAGGGGAUGAUGUUAGAUCAAUCUUAAGAUGUGAAAUUUACUGUCUCAAAUAGGGCUAGAAGAAGUAUGAGUUAGAUCUUUCGAAGUUAGAGAAGAUCAAAAUCAACCAACUAUAUUAGUCCGUCUAUUGAUGAUGUUGUUUCUCUUCUUGGUGUUGUUGACCUGAAGGCCAAAAAAAUCUUUGGGGUUGUGCUGAAAUAAUCCCUGAAUCCAAAUCAGAGGUCAGUUAUGAUUAUAUGAUUUUGAUUUGUUUGUUUCUUCAGUUUCAGAUUGUCUUUGAAUUCUGUCAAUGAGUUUAGUUGCAAAUUUUUGGGUAAUUGAAUUCUGUUUUUGUAGAUAGAUUAACAACUAAUGACAAUAUCAAUCAAUAUUUGAGGCAGAAGCUUUUUUGGAAGCUUCUGUGCAAGUUGGAAGAUGUAUCAGAUUCCACAAAGAGGGUAAACAUUUUGAACGUCUUGAAUGAUUUAUCCUUGAGAGAUUCUACUAAUUAAGUUUCUCUGUACCUGCCUUCAUGAUUUCCAUCGACUCACUGCCGCUAGCAUUUGGUGCAGCUAUUUAAUUUUUGUAAAUAGAAAACUUAUUUAGUGCAGUGGUUAUUGUACUCACUUUCAUUUGGUGCAGCUAUUUUUUUGGCUAUAUGAUGAUGGAGACAUUCUUUGUAUGAGUAAUGUAAUCCUUUUCCGUGGCUUCUCAAACCCUAUGUAGAUCUCAACAGAUAAGCCCAGUUAACAAUUACAAGGAAAUUUAUAGACGAGCCUUACCAGUGGUAAUCCCCAGGUAGAAAUGGCAGAUUGAAAAUGGGCACACUUAUGUUUGUUUUUGUAUGUGAUGGUUGAUGAUAUUAAAGAAAGUUCAGAUUUUUCGGUAUGAAAAUACUGCGGUUGGUAGUAGGUGCAAGUAUGCAUACAUUGAACAUCAAUUGUAGUUUCCAGUUUCCACUGCCAACCUACAAUAUUGCAGUAGAAGAGUCAAUCGUUAUGCUGAGAGCAUCACAAAACCUGCUCCAAAGGCUAAGGCUUAUAGUUGAUGCAUACAAUGCAUUCUACAUAGUAACCGUCCAACUGCAAAUUCGACGGUGCGAAGCUGUUUCGAGACAUUGGUCAGUAUGCUUGAGUUGAACUCUUUUUAAAACUAUGAAUUAUUAUUGGGUACUUGGGUUAGUAAAUAAUGGUUUUCAGAACAUUUCUACAAGUCGUCCACAAGCAAGAUUUAUUAUCACAGUAUGUCAAAAUGCCUUGGUGCACUUCAUUGAUCAAAAUAUAUAAUCCAUCAAUAAUCUAAAAAAGAGUUUUAAACAAUGAAGUUUAAAGUGCGAAGAGUUUUGAAUUAGGCCAGUUUCAAGAUUGUUGUCCCUUGGCAACAAUUCAAACUUCAAAACAGCAGAUUUUGAAAAUUGGUCUUCAUACUGUUGGUAGUUCCUCCCAACUUUGCACUCAUAGACAAAAAGUACUUGCUAUGAACAAGCCAGAUCGACAUAUUUAUUGAUUGGACUCAUUGUCAUACUAUUGACUAUAGGCAUAUUUUUAGGGUACUGUUAUACACAAAAAUCUAACAUGUUGUUGAUCAGUAAUGAUGUGGAUAUAUACUUGAUCUGGCUUAUCGAUUGAUUUCUCAUCAUUUUGGCGGAGAAAAAGACGCUAGCUUGACAGUUCCGUAUCAAACAUGUGAUUUGUACCAGCUGAUAUUAUGAUAGUUUCACAUUAUUAUGGCAUAACUCAUUCUUCCAAAUUCUCUGAAAGUGGAAGCCAGAACUGCAUGUUGUUUGCAGUAUUAUUUGAAGUUCCGUUGGUGGUUACUCUUUUGAGCAUAAAAAAAUGCUUACUCUUUUGAGCAUUACUCUGUGUAAAGAAAGAUUACUCUUUCGAGAAUGACUCUGUACAAAAAAUUAAGGUACUUACAAAUGGUUGAGAAAUUUGUAUGUUUAGUUAAUGCAGUAUAUCGUAAAAGACUUUUUUUUUA